This 497-nucleotide ribosomal RNA is filed under the name uncultured bacterium. Its description in RNAcentral is "partial 16S ribosomal RNA". It matches the Rfam family "Bacterial small subunit ribosomal RNA", at positions 28 to 507 of the family's 1533-position model. The record is from RNAcentral.
GAUGAACGCUGGCGGCGUGCCUAAUACAUGCAAGUCGAGCGAACAGACGAGGAGCUUGCUCCUCUGACGUUAGCGGCGGACGGGUGAGUAACACGUGGAUAACCUACCUAUAAGACUGGGAUAACUUCGGGAAACCGGAGCUAAUACCGGAUAAUAUAUUGAACCGCAUGGUUCAAUAGUAAAAGACGGUUUUGCUGUCACUUAUAGAUGGAUCCGCGCCGCAUUAGCUAGUUGGUAAGGUAACGGCUUACCAAGGCGACGAUGCGUAGCCGACCUGAGAGGGUGAUCGGCCACACUGGAACUGAGACACGGUCCAGACUCCUACGGGAGGCAGCAGUAGGGAAUCUUCCGCAAUGGGCGAAAGCUUGACGGAGCAACGCCGCGUGAGUGAUGAAGGUCUUCGGAUCGUAAAACUCUGUUAUUAGGGAAGAACAAAUGUGUAAGUAACUAUGCACGUCUUGACGGUACCUAAUCAGAAAGCCACGGCUAACUACGUG